CUUAGGAAUUCUCUGACAGACCCUUUAUCUUGGCAUUAUAAAUUGUAAGGACAGACAUCUGUCUCUUGAUUACUUUUUAAGACGAUUCUCUAACUUUACAUACUUAAAAAAUAUGUCUGGCUACUGUGCUAUUUGUAACAGGGUUAUAUUUUUACAGCAUACCAUAUUUGAGUGAAAAUGAUGGAAGAGAGUGGAAUAGAGACUACGCCACCUGGGACUCCUCCACCAAACCCUGCUGGCCUGGCCACCGCGGCAUCCACCCCGCUUCCUUUAGCAGCAACCAGUUCUUUUUCUUCUCCAAGUGGAUCCUUGCUGCCGUCCCUGCCACCCCACACGUUCUCCACCCCGCAGCCUCCCCUUCCUCCCGGGAGCCCUACAGCCCCAUUGGACGUGGUGCCUCCUUCACCAGUUCCUUCUGUCCCACCGCUUGUGACGUCUUUUCUGAAAAGGGGGCCAGACCCCAAAAUCGUUUGUUUAUCUUCCUCAUAGCCAAAGCCUUAAAGAAAAGUCUACUAUGAACAAAUGAUUUUUAACAAAAGCAAACUGAAAUAUUUUUCUCCCCUCCAGAUGUUUUGAAAGUGAAAAGAGAGUAAUAUUAAAACAGUUUUAUUUGUUAAUGUCACAUAAGAAAUUUAAGCAAGUUACACUAUCGUAAAAAAUACAACUAACGCAUUUUAAGAAUAACCCUCCCCCACCCUGCUUCCCCUCAUGAGCUAAGAAUCUAGAAGUAACCACAAACAGUUCUGUGGAAUCCUUCAUCCAGAGCGCUGACAUGGUGAUUAGGUUAAUGCCCCCUUACAAAACUUCUCUAUUAAAAAAAAAAUUGUAGGCUUGUUUAUUACAAAAACUUCAGUACAAAAGUUCAAUAUAUUGAAAAAUGCUUUCCCCUCCCUCACAGCACCGUCGUACAUAGAGAAAAAUCAAGAGCAGACUGCUGUCUAGAUGGAGCAAUCUUCAAAUUAUAUCCAGACACACAGUGACUUCUUCCCUGGAAUGUCUAUUUACGUGUCACUUGGAAGCUGAGUAAUUCUAAUACACAGCUGAAGGUGAAAACUGCUGUUCAAUGACCUGCACACUUAGGAAACGAGACCAACCACACCAGUCUCUCCGUAUUUUCCACAUGAGAAGCAGAUCGAACGGGUGACAAGGUGGAAUCUACAGGAGAGCUGAUGAGAGGAGAACGACCCACGGUCCAGGGAGAAGUCCUGAGCCUGGAUUUGUAAAUCCAAAGAGUCUCAGUCUGCCUUUGCUGUCACUGAGUUCUUUAAAAGGGAAAAACCGAAUCAAGAUAUAUAAGUUUUACAGUUACCUUAAAUCAUUUUGUAUUUCCAACAGAAAUAUUACAUGUUAUUUACAUAGCUGUCCUACUCCCAUUAAGCCGUGAAAUACAAAGAGCAUGAGAGACAGACCCAGAUUCUCCUUCCUGACUCGGCCAUUACCUGCCUAGGAGGCCCCCGGCCGCUGUAACUGACCUCACUCACUCAGUUCCCACAUUAGGAUAAGGAAGAGGUCUCACUAGAUUAUCUGUAAGAGCUGGCCUCUAACAUGUUCUGACUGACUUCUGAUGGUCUUGGGGUUUUGUGUGUGUUUUUUUUUAAUAGUAUGUAACAUAAUUGACUACUUUGUUAUGGUCUAGCUGCAAUUUAAGUUUCCAGAGUCUGGAUGUUAGAAAAACAAAAUUAGAGGUGUUUUUAAAGUCCCACUGGAGUCUCUUCUGUAAGCGAAAUGGACCCUGACCAACCCAAUAAUUUGGCCAGUCACAAAUCUAGAUAGAAAUGUUUUUUCAGUAAUGUACAAAAUACCUAAUUCCAAAACAUAUUACUGCUACCAUCUACAGCGGACCCUUAAAUAACUCAGAGGUUAAGGGUGCCAACACCCCACGCAGUCAGAAAUCUGCAUAAUAUCCUUUAACUCCUCAAAACUUUAAUGAAAACUACUGUUGAGCAGAUGCUUUACCAGUAUAAUCUAUUACCAUAUAUUUGUAUGUUACGUGUAUCAUACACUGUAUUCUUACAAUAAAGUAAGCUAGAGGAUAUUUUUCAAACUA
Long non-coding RNA from Manis pentadactyla (Chinese pangolin), 2047 nucleotides. RefSeq lists it as uncharacterized. The record is from RefSeq and is a predicted model, not a curated record. Lineage: Eukaryota; Metazoa; Chordata; Mammalia; Pholidota; Manidae. The transcript has 4 exons.